This 468-nucleotide ribosomal RNA is filed under the name uncultured bacterium. RNAcentral's name for it is "bacterial SSU rRNA". It matches the Rfam family "Bacterial small subunit ribosomal RNA", at positions 328 to 796 of the family's 1533-position model. The record is from RNAcentral.
AUUCCAGACUCCUACGGGAGGCAGCAGUGAGGAAUAUUGGUCAAUGGGCGCGAGCCUGAACCAGCCAAGUCGCGUGAGGGAUGACGGCCCUACGGGUUGUAAACCUCUUUUGUCAGGGAGCAAAGGGCGCCACGUGUGGCGUUUUGCGAGUACCUGAAGAAAAAGCAUCGGCUAACUCCGUGCCAGCAGCCGCGGUAAUACGGAGGAUGCGAGCGUUAUCCGGAUUUAUUGGGUUUAAAGGGUGCGUAGGCGGAAUGCCAAGUCAGCGGUAAAAUCGCGGGGCUCAACCUCGCUCCGCCGUUGAAACUGGCGUUCUUGAGUGGGCGAGAAGUAUGCGGAAUGCGUGGUGUGGCGGUGAAAUGCAUAGAUAUCACGCAGAACUCCGAUUGCGAAGGCAGCAUACCGGCGCGCAACUGACGCUCAUGCACGAAAGCGUGGGUAUCGAACAGGAUUAGAUACCCGAGUACC